AUAAAAAGUUUAAUCUAUCAAAAAUAAUUAACAUCAUUAUAUAAUAUAUAGAGUUUUAAAAAAUCUCAAAACAAAUUUCGUCAUAUUUUAUGAUUCGAAAUUUUAAGAAUGAACAUAUAUUAACCAAUUGGCAAAAAAUGUGUGGGUUCAACGUCCCGCAACGACUAAAAUAUUUUGACAAUGAUUCAUAAACAUAUUAUAAAUAACAUCAAUAUUAAUAAAAUAAACAGUUUUUUUUUGUGGACGGGUUUGGCAGGACGUUACUUAGUAACAAUGGUAAACUAUAAAAUAAUUUAUAUAUUUUUAUAUAUAUUAAUUUUAGAAAAUGAAUUGUCUUCGCGGUGUACCAAUGGUUAAAAUCUAGUGGAGUAUUAAAAUCAAAACAACUAACUUCUUUAGACUUAUGGUGGCCAACAAAGCAACAACGGGAAAGUGGUCUCCUUUCAACUUUUUCUUUCUCCCCCAUUUUCAUGAAA
Molecule: small RNA, 476 nt
Filed under: Arabidopsis thaliana (thale cress)
Lineage: Eukaryota; Viridiplantae; Streptophyta; Magnoliopsida; Brassicales; Brassicaceae
Description: ATSL102150
Source: RNAcentral